Caenorhabditis elegans is the source of this 189-nucleotide non-coding RNA. NCBI's taxonomy places the organism in Eukaryota, Metazoa, Nematoda, Chromadorea, Rhabditida, Rhabditidae. The record is from Ensembl.
CUUCUGCCCUCGCAACACAUACUUGCACUGCUUCUUUUUCGGGUCAUACCUGAAUUGACAUCUUGUAGGAGGAGUCUAAUACUUUCAUACUAUCAGAGGCAGAGGCAGAGGCAGAGGCAGAGGCAGAGGCACUGUGCUCUCAACCGCUCUCCCGCGCUAAUUUGGCAACAUUUUUGCCGCUUAUCUCUG